RNAcentral lists this unclassified non-coding RNA (253 nucleotides) under uncultured Verrucomicrobiota bacterium. RNAcentral's name for it is "uncultured Verrucomicrobia bacterium contains 16S-23S intergenic spacer region". It matches the Rfam family "Bacterial small subunit ribosomal RNA", at positions 524 to 776 of the family's 1533-position model. Lineage: Bacteria; Pseudomonadati; Verrucomicrobiota. The record is from RNAcentral.
UACGGAGGGUGCAAGCGUUGUUCGGAUUCACUGGGCGUAAAGGGUGCGCAGGUGGCGCUUCAAGUUUGAUGUGAAAGCCCCGAGCUCAACUCGGGAAUGGCAUUGAAUACUGGGGUGCUUGAGGUUUGGAGGGGGGACUGGAAUUCUCGGUGUAGCAGUGAAAUGCGUAGAUAUCGAGAGGAACACCAGUGGCGAAGGCGAGUCCCUGGACAACACCUGACACUGAGGCACGAAAGCCGGGGGGGCAAACAGG